This 547-nucleotide ribosomal RNA is filed under the name uncultured bacterium. RNAcentral's name for it is "bacterial SSU rRNA". It matches the Rfam family "Bacterial small subunit ribosomal RNA", at positions 355 to 916 of the family's 1533-position model. The record is from RNAcentral.
UGGGGAAUCUUGCGCAAUGGGCGAAAGCCUGACGCAGCAACGCCGCGUGCGGGAUGAAGGCCUUCGGGCUGUAAACCGCUUUCAGCAGGAACGAAAAUGACGGUACCUGCAGAAGAAGGAGCGGCCAACUACGUGCCAGCAGCCGCGGUGACACGUAGGCUCCAAGCGUUGUCCGGAUUUAUUGGGCGUAAAGAGCUCGUAGGCGGUUUAGUAAGUCGGGUGUUAAAACUCUGGGCUCAACCCGGAGAGGCCAUCCGAUACUGCUGUGACUUGAGUUCAGGAGGGGAGCGGGGAAUUCCUAGUGUAGCGGUGAAAUGCGCAGAUAUUAGGAGGAACACCGGUGGCGAAGGCGCCGCUCUGGACUGAAACUGACGCUGAGGAGCGAAAGCAUGGGUAGCAAACAGGAUUAGAUACCCUGGUAGUCCAUGCCGUAAACGGUGGGCACUAGGUGUGGGUUCCAACUAACGGGAUCCGCGCCGUCGCUAACGCAUUAAGUGCCCCGCCUGGGGAGUACGGUCGCAAGACUAAAACUCAAAGGAAUUGACGG